GACGAACGCUGGCGGCGUGCUUAACACAUGCAAGUCGAACGGAAAGGCCCUGCUUUUGUGGGGUGCUCGAGUGGCGAACGGGUGAGUAACACGUGAGUAACCUGCCCUUGACUUUGGGAUAACUUCAGGAAACUGGGGCUAAUACCGGAUAGGAGCUCCUGCUGCUUGGUGGGGGUUGGAAAGUUUCGGCGGUUGGGGAUGGACUCGCGUCUUAUCAGCUUGUUGGUGGGGUAGUGGCUUACCAAGGCUUUGACGGGUAGCCGGCCUGAGAGGGUGACCGGCCACAUUGGGACUGAGAUACGGCCCAGACUCCUAAGGGAGGCAGCAGUGAGGAAUAUUGCACAAUGGGCGGAAGCCAGAUGCAGCAACGCAGCGUGCGGGAUGACGGCCUUCGGGUUGUAAACCGCUUUCGCCUGUGACGAAGCGUGAGUGACGGUAAUGGGUAAAGAAGCACCGGCUAACUACGUG
RNAcentral lists this ribosomal RNA (468 nucleotides) under uncultured bacterium. Its description in RNAcentral is "partial 16S ribosomal RNA". It matches the Rfam family "Bacterial small subunit ribosomal RNA", at positions 28 to 507 of the family's 1533-position model. The record is from RNAcentral.